This 481-nucleotide ribosomal RNA is filed under the name uncultured bacterium. RNAcentral's name for it is "partial 16S ribosomal RNA". It matches the Rfam family "Bacterial small subunit ribosomal RNA", at positions 28 to 507 of the family's 1533-position model. The record is from RNAcentral.
GACGAACGUUGGCGGCGUGCUUAAUACAUGCAAGUCCACUGAAGCAGUGGUAGCAAUAUCGCUGUGGAGGUGGCGCACGGGUGAGUAACACGUAGGUAAUCUGCCUUCAGGUCUGGCAUAACUCCGGGAAACCGGGGCUAACAGCAGAUGAUGCAGCGGCUCGACAUCGAGACAGUUGUUAAAGCUAUGGCGCCUGAAGAUGAGCCUGCGUCUGAUUAGCUAGUUGGCGGGGUAACGGCCCACCAAGGCAACGAUCAGUAGCUGGUCUGAGAGGAUGAUCAGCCACACUGGAACUGAGACACGGUCCAGACUCCUACGGGAGGCAGCAGUAAGGAAUAUUGCUCAAUGGGAGAAAUCCUGAAGCAGCAACGCCGCGUGAGGGACGAAGGGCUUUUGCUUGUAAACCUCUGUAGUGAGAGAAAAAAAUCCCAAUCUUUGGGACAUGAUGGUAUCUCAAAAGUAAGCCCCGGCUAACUACGUG